This 66-nucleotide transfer RNA is filed under the name Pteropus alecto (black flying fox). Its description in RNAcentral is "tRNA-Pro". Lineage: Eukaryota; Metazoa; Chordata; Mammalia; Chiroptera; Pteropodidae. The record is from RNAcentral. RNAcentral also lists the same sequence under 1 other name.
CAAGGAAUAGUUUAAGUAGAAUAUCAGCUUUGGGUGUUGAUGGUGGAACUUGGGUUUCUUCCUUGA